Bombina bombina (fire-bellied toad) is the source of this 991-nucleotide long non-coding RNA. RefSeq lists it as uncharacterized. The record is from RefSeq and is a predicted model, not a curated record. The transcript is spliced from 2 exons. NCBI's taxonomy places the organism in Eukaryota, Metazoa, Chordata, Amphibia, Anura, Bombinatoridae.
GAGACAGAGACAAAUACUACUCCUACUGACAGCCUUGCUAAAAGAAAGGAAUCAUGGGACUAAAUAUGGAGGUGCGCGCUCCUGAGGGCUAGAGCCAUCCGUGAAUGGCUUUGCAUAAUUAGGUUCACCGAUCGAUCCAGAAGAGCUCCUCCGAUGUCUUGAUCCAAGCCCAAGCGGGGGGCUGAAGAUGUCCAUGAUCCGGCUGAAGUCUUCAUCCAAGCGGGAGCUGAAGAGGUCCAUGAUCCGGCUGAAGUCUUCUAUCAACGGCAUCUUCAAUCUUCUUUCUUCCGGAUCCAUCUUGCAGACCUCCGACGCGGAACAUCCUGCUGGCCCGACGGACUACCGACGAAUGAAGGCUCCUUUAAGGGACGUCAUCCAAGAUGGCGUCCCUCGAAUUCCGAUUGGCUGAUAGGAUUCUAUCAGCCAAUCGGAAUUAAGGUAGGAAAAUUCUGAUUGGCUGAUGGAAUCAGAAUUUUCUGAUGGAGAUAACAGAGUUAUAUUGGAUCCAUAAGUUGGAAUCUAAGGGUCCAAUGGGCAUGAAUAAGGAUUUUGAUUUAUCCUUUUUUUUUGUAAUCCUUAGUGGUAGUAUUAUUUUUAUCCUCAGAAAGUUACUGAUAUUACUACAUAAAAGCAUUAUUUGAUGUUAUACAAAAGUAUUUCAAUAUAUGGUGUGUUCUAUGGGUCUUUUGAUUGUUCUAUAUAUAUGUACAUUUUUGAUAAAAUAUAUGCAAUAUAUGUUUUUGUCCACUAGAUGGCUAAUGUUAGUUGGAUAUUGUAGGUUUUUUAUGACCACUAGGUGGUAGUAUAUUUUGCAUUUACCUGAGAGUUUGUAAACACAGUUGUGUUAAUUGUGAUGAAGGGGAGGGAUUUAAGGUUUAUAAGGUGCAAUUCUUGCAUGUCAUGUAUACAACACGAUUAAGGGGUAACACCCAAAACGUUGUCAUCCUAUCUUUGUUUGGAGUAGAUGUAAAUAAAUAUAGAUCUUUUAUUA